UACAGAGGGCCCAAGCGUUGUCCGGAUUCAUUGGGCGUAAAGGGUGUGUAGGCGGCGCGGUAAGUCGGGUGUGAAAUCUCGGAGCUUAACUCCGAAACUGCAUUCGAUACUGCCGUGCUUGAGGACUGGAGAGGAGACUGGAAUUUACGGUGUAGCGGUGAAAUGCGUAGAUAUCGUAAGGAAGACCAGUGGCGAAGGCGGGUCUCUGGACAGUACCUGACGCUGAGGCGCGAAGGCCAGGGGAGCAAACGGG
Molecule: ribosomal RNA, 253 nt
Filed under: uncultured bacterium
Lineage: Bacteria
Description: partial 16S ribosomal RNA
Rfam family: Bacterial small subunit ribosomal RNA
Source: RNAcentral